RNAcentral lists this ribosomal RNA (465 nucleotides) under uncultured bacterium. Its description in RNAcentral is "partial 16S ribosomal RNA". It matches the Rfam family "Bacterial small subunit ribosomal RNA", at positions 339 to 795 of the family's 1533-position model. The record is from RNAcentral.
CUACGGGACGCACCAGUCGAGAAUCUUUAGCAAUGGGCGAAAGCCUGACUAUGCGACGCCGCGUGAGCGAUGAAGGCCUUCGGGUCGUAAAGCUCUGUCACACCGGAUGAAUGUUCAGCAUUUGAAUAAGGUGUUGGAUUGACAGUACGGUGAGAGGAAGCCACGGCUAACUCCGUGCCAGCAGCCGCGGUAAUACGGAGGUGGCAAGCGUUGUUCGGAUUUAUUGGGUGUAAAGGGUGUGUAGGUGUUCCGAUAAGUCGGGUGUGAAAUCCUUCAGCUUAACUGAAGAAUUGCGUCCGGAACUACCGGAAUUGAGUGCAUGAGAGGAGAGGGGAAUUCUUGGUGUAAGGGUGAAAUCUGUAGAUAUCAAGAAGAACACCGGUGGCGAAGGCGCCUCUCUGGCAUGCAACUGACACUGAGACACGAAAGCGUGGGGAGCAAACAGGAUUAGAUACCCUCGUAGUC